Molecule: transfer RNA, 76 nt
Filed under: Alphaproteobacteria bacterium
Lineage: Bacteria; Pseudomonadati; Pseudomonadota; Alphaproteobacteria
Also listed under: 2 other names
Description: tRNA-Ala
Rfam family: tRNA
About the family: Transfer RNA (tRNA) molecules are approximately 80 nucleotides in length.
Source: RNAcentral
GGGGCUAUAGCUCAGUUGGGAGAGCGCUACACUGGCAGUGUAGAGGUCAGCGGUUCGAACCCGCUUAGCUCCACCA